CCUACGGGUGGCAGCAGUGGGGAAUAUUGCACAAUGGGGGGAACCCUGAUGCAGCGACGCCGCGUGAGUGAAGACGUAUUUCGGUAUGUAAAGCUCUAUCAGCAGGGAAGAAAAUGACGGUACCUGACUAAGAAGCCCCUGCUAACUACGUGCCAGCUGCCUCGGUAAUACGUAGGGGGCAAGCGUUAUCCGGAUUUACUGGGUGUAAGGGGAGCGUAGACGGUUUGACAAGUCUGAAGUGAAAUGCCUAGGCUCAACCAUGGAACUGCUUAGGAAACUGUAGAACUGGAGUGCAGGAGAGGUAAGCGGAAUUCAUGGUGUAGCGGUGAAAUGCGUAGAUAUGAGGAGGAACACCAGUGGCGAAGGCGGCUUACUGGACUGUAACUGACGUUGAGGCUCGAAAGCGUGGGGAGCAAACAGGAUUAGAUACCCCAGUAGUC
RNAcentral lists this ribosomal RNA (440 nucleotides) under uncultured bacterium. RNAcentral describes it as "partial 16S ribosomal RNA". It matches the Rfam family "Bacterial small subunit ribosomal RNA", at positions 338 to 795 of the family's 1533-position model. The record is from RNAcentral.